CAGCACCUCAAGUGGUCAGGAUGAUUAUUGGGCCUAAAGCAUCCGUAGCCGGCUUUGUAAGUUUUCGGUUAAAUCCAUGUGCUCAACGCAUGGGCUGCCGAAAAUACUGCAUGGCUAGGGAGUGGGAGAGGUAGACGGUACUCAGUAGGAAGGGGUAAAAUCCUUUGAUCUAUUGAUGACCACCUGUGGCGAAGGCGGUCUACCAGAACACGUUCGACGGUGAGGGAUGAAAGCUGGGGGAGCAAACCGGAUUAGAUACCCGGGUAGUCCCAGCUGUAAACGAUGCAGACUCGAUGAUGCAUUGGCAUAAUAGCCAGUGCAGUGUCGCAGGGAAGCCGUUAAGUCUGCCGCCUGGGAAGUACGUACGCAAGUAUGAAACUUAAAGGAAUUGGCGGGGGAGCACCACAAGGGGUGAAGCCUGCGGUUCAAUUGGAGUCAACGCCAGAAAUCUUACCCGGAGAGACAGCAGAAUGAAGGUCAAGCUGAAGACUUUACCAGACAAGCUGAGAGGUGGUGCAUGGCCGUCGCCAGCUCGUGCCGUGAGAUGUCCUGUUAAGUCAGGUAACGAGCGAGAUCCCUGCCACUAGUUGCUAUCAUUAUUCUCAGGAAUAGUGGGGCGAAUUAGUGGGACUGCCGUUGUUAAAACGGAGGAAGGAAGGGGCUACGGCAGGUCAGUAUGCCCCGAAACUCUGGGGCCACACGCGGGCUGCAAUGGUAGUGACAAUGAGUUCCAAACUCGAAAGAGAGUGGCAAUCUCUAAACGCUACCACAGUUAUGACUGAGGGCUGUAACUCGCCCUCACGAAUAUGGAAUCCCUAGUAACCGCGUGUCAUUACCGCGCGGUGAAUACGUCCCUGCUCCUU
This 863-nucleotide ribosomal RNA is filed under the name uncultured organism. Its description in RNAcentral is "bacterial SSU rRNA". It matches the Rfam family "Archaeal small subunit ribosomal RNA", at positions 477 to 1338 of the family's 1478-position model. The record is from RNAcentral.